GACAACCAGGAUGUUGGCUUAGAAGCAGCCACCAUUGAAAGAGUGCGUAAUAGCUCACUGGUCGAGUGACUCUGCGCCGAAAAUGUAACGGGGCUAAACACACCACCGAAGCUAUGGCUUGAUGCUUGCAUCAGGGGUAGGGGAGCGUUGUAUAAGGGUUGAAGGUGUACCGUAAGGAGCGCUGGACAUUAUACAAGUGAGAAUGCCGGUAUGAGUAACGAAAAGAUCAGUGAGAAUCUGAUCCGCCGAAAG
This 252-nucleotide ribosomal RNA is filed under the name Paenibacillus sp. RNAcentral describes it as "partial 23S ribosomal RNA". It matches the Rfam family "Bacterial large subunit ribosomal RNA", at positions 1088 to 1343 of the family's 2925-position model. Lineage: Bacteria; Bacillati; Bacillota; Bacilli; Caryophanales; Paenibacillaceae. The record is from RNAcentral. RNAcentral also lists the same sequence under 2 other names.